CGGGACACGUGGUAUCCUGUCUGAAUAUGGGGGGACCAUCCUCCAAGGCUAAAUACUCCUGACUGACCGAUAGUGAACCAGUACCGUGAGGGAAAGGCGAAAAGAACCCCGGCGAGGGGAGUGAAAAAGAACCUGAAACCGUGUACGUACAAGCAGUGGGAGCACGCUUAGGCGUGUGACUGCGUACCUUUUGUAUAAUGGGUCAGCGACUUAUAUUCUGUAGCAAGGUUAACCGAAUAGGGGAGCCGAAGGGAAACCGAGUCUUAACUGGGCGUUAAGUUGCAGGGUAUAGACCCGAAACCCGGUGAUCUAGCCAUGGGCAGGUUGAAGGUUGGGUAACACUAACUGGAGGACCGAACCGACUAAUGUUGAAAAAUUAGCGGAUGACUUGUGGCUGGGGGUGAAAGGCCAAUCAAACCGGGAGAUAGCUGGUUCUCCCCGAAAGCUAUUUAGGUAGCGCCUCGUGAAUUCAUCUCCGGGGGUAGAGCACUGUUUCGGCAAGGGGGUCAUCCCGACUUACCAA
RNAcentral lists this ribosomal RNA (523 nucleotides) under Escherichia coli. Its description in RNAcentral is "partial 23S ribosomal RNA". It matches the Rfam family "Bacterial large subunit ribosomal RNA", at positions 418 to 942 of the family's 2925-position model. Lineage: Bacteria; Pseudomonadati; Pseudomonadota; Gammaproteobacteria; Enterobacterales; Enterobacteriaceae. The record is from RNAcentral.